RNAcentral lists this ribosomal RNA (254 nucleotides) under uncultured bacterium. RNAcentral's name for it is "partial 16S ribosomal RNA". It matches the Rfam family "Bacterial small subunit ribosomal RNA", at positions 524 to 776 of the family's 1533-position model. The record is from RNAcentral.
UACGUAGGUGGCAAGCGUUUGUCCGGAAUUAUUGGGCGUAAAGCGCGCGCAGGCGGUUUCUUAAGUCUGAUGUGAAAGCCCACGGCUCAACCGUGGAGGGUCAUUGGAAACUGGGGAACUUGAGUGCAGAAGAGAAGAGCGGAAUUCCACGUGUAGCGGUGAAAUGCGUAGAGAUGUGGAGGAACACCAGUGGCGAAGGCGGCUCUUUGGUCUGUAACUGACGCUGAGGCGCGAAAGCGUGGGGAGCAAACAGG